Molecule: ribosomal RNA, 475 nt
Filed under: uncultured Planctomyces sp.
Lineage: Bacteria; Pseudomonadati; Planctomycetota; Planctomycetia; Planctomycetales; Planctomycetaceae
Description: bacterial SSU rRNA
Rfam family: Bacterial small subunit ribosomal RNA
Source: RNAcentral
AGAGUUUGAUCCUGGCUCAGAAUGAACGUUGGCGGCGUGGAUUAGGCAUGCAAGUCGAGCGCGAACCUGUCUUCGGACAGGGGACAGCGGCGAACGGGGUAGGAAUACCUCGGUGACGUACCCCCGGGUCGGGGAUAGCGGCGGGAAACUGCCGGUAAUACCCGAUACUCUGCCUUGAUUUGAACUUGGGGCAGCAAAGGUGUGAUUCCGUCUGGGGAGCGGCCGAGGCCGUAUUAGCUUGUUGGUGGGGUAACGGCUCACCAAGGCGAUGAUGCGUAGGGGGUGUGAGAGCAUGGCCCCCACCACUGGCACUGAGACACUGGCCAGACACCUACGGGUGGCUGCAGUCGAGAAUCUUCGGCAAUGGGCGCAAGCCUGACCGAGCGACGCCGCGUGCGGGAUGAAGGCCUUCGGGUUGUAAACCGCUGUCGGAGGGGAUGAAGUGCACGAGGGUACUCCCUUGUGUUGACAGAGC